GCGCUCGUAGCUCAACUGGAUAGAGCACUAGCUUGCGGAGCUGGGGGUUGCAGGUUCAAAUCCUGCCGGGCGCACCA
Molecule: transfer RNA, 77 nt
Filed under: candidate division CPR3 bacterium GWF2_35_18
Lineage: Bacteria; candidate division CPR3
Also listed under: 3 other names
Description: tRNA-Arg
Rfam family: tRNA
About the family: Transfer RNA (tRNA) molecules are approximately 80 nucleotides in length.
Source: RNAcentral